This 468-nucleotide ribosomal RNA is filed under the name uncultured bacterium. Its description in RNAcentral is "partial 16S ribosomal RNA". It matches the Rfam family "Bacterial small subunit ribosomal RNA", at positions 28 to 507 of the family's 1533-position model. The record is from RNAcentral.
GACGAACGCUGGCGGCGUGCUUAACACAUGCAAGUCGAACGGAAAGGCCCUGCUUUUGUGGGGUGCUCGAGUGGCGAACGGGUGAGUAACACGUGAGUAACCUGCCCUUGACUUUGGGAUAACUUCAGGAAACUGGGGCUAAUACCGGAUAGGAGCUCCUGCUGCAUGGUGGGGGUUGGAAAGUUUCGGCGGUUGGGGAUGGACUCGCGGCCUAUCAGCUUGUUGGUGGGGUAGUGGCUUACCAAGGCUUUGACGGGUAGCCGGCCUGAGAGGGUGACCGGCCACAUUGGGACUGAGAUACGGCCCAGACUCCUACGGGAGGCAGCAGUGGGGAAUAUUGCACAAUGGGCGGAAGCCUGAUGCAGCAACGCCGCGUGCGGGAUGACGGCCUUCGGGUUGUAAACCGCUUUCGCCUGUGACGAAGCGUGAGUGACGGUAAUGGGUAAAGAAGCACCCGCUAACUACGUG